CCUCGAUCCGGAGCGUCUCGCCCGGCGCGCCCGGGUCUGACCUUCCCCGCUUCACGUCAUAGGGGCUGUCCUGCCGGGCAGCCCCUCAAACGUGCUUGAUCCACUCUUCCCGGUGACCGUGGCUCGCCAGCCCGGUCCGUGUCGCGCCCGCACGGCCACUCGUUACGGAGGUGGCCGAGAGGCACCGGCGGGACACGGAAGGGCGCGGCAUUGGACGCAGGUAGGCGAGU
RNAcentral lists this non-coding RNA (230 nucleotides) under Actinoplanes sp. SE50/110. Lineage: Bacteria; Bacillati; Actinomycetota; Actinomycetes; Micromonosporales; Micromonosporaceae. The record is from RNAcentral.